GACGAACGCUGGCGGCGUGCUUAACACAUGCAAGUCGAACGGAAAGGCCUCUUUCGGGGGGUACUCGAGUGGCGAACGGGUGAGUAACACGUGAGUAACCUGCCCUUGACUUUGGGAUAACUUCAGGAAACUGGGGCUAAUACCGGAUAGGAGCUCCUGCUGCAUGGUGGGGGUUGGAAAGUUUCGGCGGUUGGGGAUGGACUCGCGGCUUAUCAGCUUGUUGGUGGGGUAGUGGCUUACCAAGGCUUUGACGGGUAGCCGGCCUGAGAGGGUGACCGGCCCCAUUGGGACUGAGGUACGGCCCAGGCUCCUACCGGAGGCAACAGUGGGGAAUAUUGCACAAUGGGUGGAAGCCUGAUGCAGCAACGCCGUGUGCGGGAUGACGGCCUUCGGGUUGUAAACCGCUUUCGCUCAUGACGAAGCUUUGUGUGACGGUAGUGGGUAAAGAAGCACCGGCUAACUACGUG
This 467-nucleotide ribosomal RNA is filed under the name uncultured bacterium. Its description in RNAcentral is "partial 16S ribosomal RNA". It matches the Rfam family "Bacterial small subunit ribosomal RNA", at positions 28 to 507 of the family's 1533-position model. The record is from RNAcentral.